UGCAAGUGGUAGAGGAGCGUUCCUAUCUGCGGUGAAGCAGCACUGGAAAGUGUUGAACUCGGAGAUAGCUGGUUCUCCUCGAAAUAGCUUUAGGGCUAGCGUCGCGUAGUAGCAAAUAGGGGUAGAGCUCUGUAAAGGACUGGGGCUGGCAACGGUACCCACCCUUAACAAACUACGAAUACUAUUUGUGUAAUCGCGGCAGUUAGAACGUCGGGGCUAAGCUCGGCGCUCGAAAGGGAAACAGCCCAGACCAUCGUCUAAGGUCCCUAAAUUUACACUCAGUGGGAAACAAGGUGAGAUUUCUUAAACAGCGAGGAUGUUGGCUUAGAAGCAGCCAUUCAUUUAAAGAGUGCGUAACAGCUCACUCGUCAAGAGAUUUUGCGUGGAAAAUGUAACGGGGCUAAAGUGUAAUACCGAAGACAUGGAUUUGCAGUUUACUGCAAGUGGUAGAGGAGCGUUCCUAUCUGCGGUGAAGCAGCACUGGAAAGUGUUGUGGAGCGUUAGGAAGUGAGAAUGCUGGAAUGAGUAACCAUAAGACAGGUGAGAAUCCUGUCGGCCGUAAGAGCAAGGUUUCCUGAGCCAUGGUAAUCAUCUCAGGGUUAGUCGGGCCUAAGCCGAGGCGCAUAGCGUAGGCGAUGGACAUCAGGUUAAUAUUCCUGAACCGGCGUAGUUUGUACACUGUUCACGGCGAGAUAUUCGGAGCGGAUUCAUGGUAUGUAUCCGUCCAACCUAGGGGGAACCCGAUGGGAGUGAAAGUGAGUCUUCGGACUUACGAUUCUGGAAAAGGCGCUGGCUAGAAAAGCAGGUGUACGCGUGACUAUGUCCGCCCGUACCGCAAACCAACACAGGUGCUCGAGUCGAGUAGACUCAGGCUUACGAGAGACCCUUCGCUAAGGAACUCGGCAAUACAGCGACCGUAACUUCGGGAUAAGGUCUGCCCCCUCUUCUUUGAAGAGGAAUGCCGCGUACACUCAGCAAGAGUAACGGUUAAAAGGUGUGUCUAACUAACACACAAUGAGUACGUUCUAGUUCUUCGGAACUAUGAAUGACAAAUCCUUUUUAGAACCAAAUAGAUUUUUUCUGAGAUAAGUAACAAAUGAUUUUGUUCUUUUGAACGCGAGAACUUCGUCUUUACAGAUGAGGGGGCCGCAGCAAAAGAGCCCACGGAACUGUUUAUCAAAAACACAGGUCUCUGCUAACACGAAAGUGGAUGUAUAGGGGCUGACUCCUGCCCGGUGCUGGAAGGUUAAGGGGAGCGCUUCACGGUGCGAACUGAAGCCCCAGUGAACGGCGGCGGUAACUAUAACCGUCCUAAGGUAGCGAAAUUCCUUGUCAGGUAAGUUCUGACCCGCACGAAUGGAGUAAUGAUUUGGGUACUGUCUCGACGAAGAGCUCGGUGAAAGUGCAUUGACGGUAAAGAUGCCGUCUGUCCGCAGCAGGACGAAAAGACCCCGUGGAGCUUUACUACAGCUUGACAUUGAAUCGAGCUACAACAUGUGUAGAAUAGGUGGGAGACUUUGAAGCCUAGACGCCAGUCUAAGCUGAGUCGCAAUGUGAAAUACCACCCUUGUUGUAGUUUUAUUCUUACCAAGGCCACAAAUUGCGGAGCAAUUUUGGCAUUUAUCAAUUCACAUUUUUCAAUUUUCAUUUUAAAAAUUCCAGAUAAUGAUUUUUCUUCAAUGAAAAAUGUUAAUUGAAGAAUGAUAAAUGAUCAGAACUGAUCCUCAGUUUCUGGUCUUGGGACCGUGUCUGGUGGGUAGUUUAACUGGGGCGGUUGCCUCCUAAAGAGUAGCGGAGGCGUUCAA
This 1805-nucleotide ribosomal RNA is filed under the name bioreactor sludge metagenome. RNAcentral describes it as "bacterial LSU rRNA". It matches the Rfam family "Bacterial large subunit ribosomal RNA", at positions 758 to 2313 of the family's 2925-position model. The record is from RNAcentral.